UGGGGAAUCUUGCACAAUGGGGGCAACCCUGAUGCAGCGACGCCGCGUGAGCGAUGAAGCCCUUCGGGGUGUAAAGCUCUUUCGGCAGGGAAGAUUAUGACGGUACCUGCAGAAGCAGCUGCGGCUAACUACGUGCCAGCAGCCGCGGUAAUACGUAGGCAGCAAGCGUUGUUCGGAGUUACUGGGCGUAAAGGGUGUGUAGGCGGCUUGGGUAAGUGUGGUGUGAAAUCUCCCGGCUCAACUGGAGGGUGCGCUACAGACUGCCGGGCUAGAGUGCGGGAUGGGAGAGUGGAAUUCCUGGUGUAGCGGUGAAAUGCGUAGAUAUCGGGAGGAACACCGGUGGUGUAGACGGCUCUCUGGACCGUAACUGACGCUGAGACACGAAAGCGUGGGUAGCAAACAGGAUUAGAUACCCUGGUAGUCCACGCCCUAAACGAUGCAUAUUUGGUGUGGGUCAUUCAGUUGAUCCGUGCCGGAGCUAACGCGUUAAAUAUGCCGCC
RNAcentral lists this ribosomal RNA (500 nucleotides) under uncultured bacterium. RNAcentral describes it as "bacterial SSU rRNA". It matches the Rfam family "Bacterial small subunit ribosomal RNA", at positions 355 to 873 of the family's 1533-position model. The record is from RNAcentral.